UAGACCAUUGAUGAGAGGAGGCCAUGAGCCAAGGAUUAUGAUUUAUCAAAUUCUGUACACCAGAGGUACAAU
Molecule: small nucleolar RNA, 72 nt
Filed under: Tursiops truncatus (common bottlenose dolphin)
Lineage: Eukaryota; Metazoa; Chordata; Mammalia; Artiodactyla; Delphinidae
Description: Small nucleolar RNA SNORD112 (ENSTTRG00000024948.1)
Source: RNAcentral